RNAcentral lists this ribosomal RNA (253 nucleotides) under uncultured bacterium. RNAcentral describes it as "partial 16S ribosomal RNA". It matches the Rfam family "Bacterial small subunit ribosomal RNA", at positions 524 to 776 of the family's 1533-position model. The record is from RNAcentral.
UACAGAGGGUGCAAGCGUUAAUCGGAUUUACUGGGCGUAAAGCGUGCGUAGGCGGUUCAUUAAGUCGGUUGUGAAAUCCCUGGGCUUAACCUGGGAACUGCAGUCGAUACUGGUGAACUAGAGUGCGGUAGAGGGUGGCGGAACUCCGGGUGUAGCGGUGAAAUGCGUAGAUAUCGGGAGGAACACCGGUGGCGAAGGCGGUUCUCUGGGCCUUACCUGACGCUGAGGAGCGAAAGCCAGGGGAGCAAACGGG